RNAcentral lists this small RNA (586 nucleotides) under Pan troglodytes (chimpanzee). RNAcentral describes it as "retained intron". Lineage: Eukaryota; Metazoa; Chordata; Mammalia; Primates; Hominidae. The record is from RNAcentral.
UCAUGCUGGCAUCAUUCAUUCUCCACGCAUCAGAUGAUCCUGCGGCCCCUCAGUGCCAGGCCCCACUGGCCCUCUGCGCACAUCAGUGACUCUGAUGUUCUCCCCCCCCCGCAUGCUGCCAGUCUGAUGGUGGAGACAGAACAGCAGUCCCGGAUGGUGGAGGCAAUGCCCAGAGCUGUGGCAGCCACCUUGCAGCCGUGAAGCACCAGUGGGAAUGACAGUCAAGAGAACCAUGGAGAUGCCAGCCCCUGGACCCACAGCAGCAGCACCUGCUUCCAGACUGAGAGUGUGAGAAAAAAAUAAACCCCUAUUUGUUUAUGGCAAGAGACAAGGUCUAGCUCUGUGACGCAGGCCGGAGGACAGUGGUGUGAUCACAGCUCACUGCAGCCUUGAACUCCUGGGUUCCAGCAAUCCUCCCACCUCAGCCUCCUUAGUAGGCGUGGCUACAGGUGUGCACCACCAUGUCCAGCCCUAAAUUUCAUUCUUUUUAAUUUCAAUAUUGUUAUGUGUUUUCUAAUGUUUUAUAACUUAUUGGUAUGGUAGAUGUACAUGUAUACAAAUUAAAAUAAAAUUUAUAUAUAUUUUA